CUAUUCGUUUUUUUCGCCACAUGAUGGCGCGAUCGAAGUCGGUGUAAAAUACACCUGGGACUGCUAAUGCCAAACAUUGCAGCAGAACAACAUGAUGAACCGUUACAGCUGCUCACCUGCAGGAGAUGAGGCCCAAACCCAGGUGUGUUUAGUGAGACAGUGUCAGUGAUGGAGGGAGAUUCUGUCACUCUACACACUAAUCUUAAUGAAAUACAUAAAGACGAUGACAUACUGUGGAAUGUUGUACCUGAACACGUUCUGAUAGCUGAAAUCAACAAAGCUGCUGGAAUCUUCUCCACAUAUAAUGGUACUGAUGAGAGAUUCAGAGACAUACUGAAGCUGGACAAUCAAACUGGAUCUCUGACCAUCACAAACAUCACAACUCUACAUGCUGGAGACUAUGAAGUAAAGAUAAGUGGAGCUAAUCUGUCAUCAAAAACAUUCUAUGUUUCUGUCUAUGGUGAGUAAAGAUAAUUUAUUCAAACACUCACAUAUUCUUGUUCAAUUAAAAGAAUAAAAGCUUAAAAAAGCUUAAAAGCUUAUUUGACUGCAUUUGUAGCAUAUUAACACAUACACACAAACAAUUCUGAGUCAUCCCUUUUUUUAAUGGA
Molecule: long non-coding RNA, 611 nt
Organism: Carassius carassius (crucian carp)
Lineage: Eukaryota; Metazoa; Chordata; Actinopteri; Cypriniformes; Cyprinidae
Exons: 3
Source: RefSeq, a predicted model, not a curated record